This 265-nucleotide long non-coding RNA is filed under the name Capsicum annuum. Its description in RNAcentral is "long non-coding RNA (CANN_LNC020069)". The record is from RNAcentral. Lineage: Eukaryota; Viridiplantae; Streptophyta; Magnoliopsida; Solanales; Solanaceae.
AUCGAUUUCGUGAUAAUCUUCUCUAGCAUCGAGUCGGGUUCAUCUCGUGGAUACACUAUUCUUGUGGUUUCAUCAUUUUUUGGGGGAGUUUCAUCUAUUUUUUUGCGUUUUGUUGCUGAAAUCCGGUUGUGGUAUUUAUCGGUUUUUGGUCGUGUUAUUUUGGAAUUUGGGUGCUUUGGGUGCUGUUAGUUUCAAUCAUUCGUGAUCAAUUUCUGAGAUUUUCGAUUUCUCUAUACGGAGCUUGGAUUUAGUCGCUGUUGAGGUU